UUAAGCCCAACCUCCCACAGUCCCUGGCCACCAGAAUGGCAUCUCUCUGUGAGGACUUCUGUGCAAUGCCUGUGUUUACUGAUAACUACUCUUUCUACCUGUCUCGUCUCUUCCACACACAGUGCGCUCUGGUCAGGGAGUCUUGCUGAGAGUCUUGCUGUUCUUGCCUCCCCGCCACGGUGUGACUUGGUGCCUGGCACAGGGCAUGCACACAGGAAGCUCCAGACUAGUGUGGAUGGCCGCUGCAUUCUUCUUCCCAGCCUGAUCCUGGUCCUGGGGAGAGCACUUCAGGGUUGCUCUCCUCUUUUGGCCCAUGGGAAGGGGCAGGAUAUGAGGUGGGGGCUUUUGACAAGAAAAUCCUUCUCCACUGUUCCUGGGAAAGGGCCGCUGAGGACUCGGGAAGACUCACUUUGCUCCAGGACUGGUGGUCUCCUCUUUCCCUGUGAUGCAGACAGAAGACUUUGCUUUGGACCCGUGUGGUUCUCACCUUCUCCUCCAUGGGGGCUGUGUGGGCCCUGGUUCUGGGACUGCCAACCGAAUGCUGUUCCGUCCCAUGCAGAUUUCAGUGAAGUUCUCAAAUAAUUAUGCAUAAAAUGCAUACCAUCUCAUACUUUGGUUUUCAUAUCAUGGAACCACGGGAUCUUUGUGAUCUUCAUUUUUCAGUGCCUGCAAACUACCAAAACAAAUACAGGUUUUCUAAUUUAACUAAUCCAAUAAUAAUUGACAUUUGAUCUACUUUUGAGUUUUCAUUACAAUGAAUAAUGGUAUAUUCAGCACAGGGCUUUUUAGUGGGUGAUCAGUCUGCAAAUAAGAUUUCAUCUCAUUGUUAAAUUAGUACCUAUACAUUAUAGAAAUUUAAAAGAAAAUUUAAAUCAUGAGUAAUUGUGUCACUGAGAGACAGAAAAUGUGUACGUGGGGUCCCACCUCUCUAUUCCUUUCCUAGUAUGUGCAUUCAGGCAUCACUGGCCUGGUGGUGUGUACUAGUGUUAUAUCAGGAUUACUGUUGGGCAGGCCUGAGGGUAAGAGGCUAGACUCUUGCCACAAAUUAACCUAGUUUAACUGCUGCCUCUGCUGCUUAGCGCUUUGAAUAAGGUCUCAGUCUCAGUUUUCACUUUCUUAGAGCAGUUAACCACAGGCAAAUUCCUCUGGCCACAGGUUUUAGGAUAUCAGUAAUAUGUUUCUCUUAAGGGUAUAGAAUCAAUAUCGAAAGUAUUUACCGGAACAACCGGCAUGCAGUAAGUGCCCAACAAAUACCAAGCGUGUUAUCAUCUUUUUUUGCAAGCCCCAGGUUGUGAAAAUUCCCUGAAAUUCACCAUUUUUAAUGACGUCCCAAUAUUAUGUUGUUCUUUUGUACCCCAGUUUAUUCAAUCCCA
Molecule: long non-coding RNA, 1373 nt
Filed under: Fukomys damarensis (Damara mole-rat)
Lineage: Eukaryota; Metazoa; Chordata; Mammalia; Rodentia; Bathyergidae
Description: lncRNA (ENSFDAG00000024909.1)
Source: RNAcentral